This 434-nucleotide ribosomal RNA is filed under the name uncultured bacterium. RNAcentral's name for it is "partial 16S ribosomal RNA". It matches the Rfam family "Bacterial small subunit ribosomal RNA", at positions 27 to 507 of the family's 1533-position model. The record is from RNAcentral.
GAGCGAACGCUGGCGGCAGGCCUAACACAUGCAAGUCGAACGGAUCCUUCGGGAUUAGUGGCGGACGGGUGAGUAACACGUGGGAACGUGCCCUUUGGUUCGGAACAACUCAGGGAAACUUGAGCUAAUACCGGAUGUGCCCUUCGGGGGAAAGAUUUAUCGCCAUUGGAGCGGCCCGCGUCUGAUUAGCUAGUUGGUGAGGUAACGGCCCACCAAGGCGACGAUUAGUAGCUGGUCUGAGAGGAUGAUCAGCCACACUGGGACUGAGACACGGCCCAGACUCCUACGGGAGGCAGCAGUGGGGAAUCUUGCGCAAUGGGCGAAAGCCUGACGCAGCCAUGCCGCGUGAAUGAUGAAGGUCUUAGGAUUGUAAAAUUCUUUCAGCGGGGACGAUAAUGACGGUACCCGCAGAAGAAGCUCCGGCUAACUUCGUG